This 253-nucleotide ribosomal RNA is filed under the name uncultured bacterium. RNAcentral describes it as "partial 16S ribosomal RNA". It matches the Rfam family "Bacterial small subunit ribosomal RNA", at positions 524 to 776 of the family's 1533-position model. The record is from RNAcentral.
UACGUAGGGUGCAAGCGUUGUUCGGAAUCAUUGGGCGUAAAGCGCGUGUAGGCGGUCAAGUAAGUCUUGUGUGAAAUCCCUGGGCUCAACCGAGGAAGUGCAUGGGAAACUACUUGGCUUGCAGACGGUAGAGGAAGGUGGAAUUCCAAGUGUAGAGGUGAAAUUCGUAGAUAUUUGGAGGAAUACCGGUGGCGAAGGCGGCCUUCUGGACCGAUCUGGACGCUGAGACGCGAAAGCGUGGGGAGCAAACAGG